This 458-nucleotide ribosomal RNA is filed under the name uncultured bacterium. RNAcentral describes it as "partial 16S ribosomal RNA". It matches the Rfam family "Bacterial small subunit ribosomal RNA", at positions 338 to 795 of the family's 1533-position model. The record is from RNAcentral.
CCUACGGGUGGCAGCAGUGGGGAAUAUUGCACAAUGGGGGAAACCCUGAUGCAGCGACGCCGCGUGAGUGAAGAAGUAAUUCGUUACGUAAAGCUCUAUCAGCAGGGAAGAAACACUGACUUUAUGGUCAGCAGACGGUACCUGAGUAAGAAGCCCCGGCCAAAUAAGUGCCAGCAGCCGCGGGAAUACGUAGGGGGCAAGCGUUAUCCGGAUUUACUGGGUGCAAAGGGAGCGUAGACGGUGCGCCAAGUCUGGAGUGAAAUGCCGGGGCUUAACUGCGGGACUGCUUUGGAAACUGGCGAACUAGAGUGCGGGAGAGGUAAGCGGAAUUCCUAGUGUAGCGGUGAAAUGCGUAGAUAUUAGGAGGAACACCGGUGGCGAAGGCGGCUUACUGGACCGUAACUGACGUUGAGGCUCGAAAGCGUGGGGAGCAAACAGGAUUAGAUACCCUGGUAGUC